This 358-nucleotide ribosomal RNA is filed under the name Orisarma sinense. RNAcentral describes it as "Sesarmops sinensis partial 12S ribosomal RNA". Lineage: Eukaryota; Metazoa; Arthropoda; Malacostraca; Decapoda; Sesarmidae. The record is from RNAcentral.
UUUAGGAAAAAAUAUAAAGCUAGAUUAGUAUUAGUUAAAUACUUAAAAAUUAAAAGAUUUGGCGGUGAUUUAAUCUUUUCAGAGGAAUUUGUUUUUUAAUCGAUAAACCACGAAGAAUCUUACUUGUUUUUGUUAAAUAAUCAGUUUGUAUACCAUCAUUAUCAGAUAAUUCUAAAAAGAAAAAUUAUCAAAUUUAAAUAUUUAUUAAAAUUAGAUCAUGGUGCAGCUUAUAAACAAGGUAAAAUGAAUUACAAUAAAUUGUUUUAUAAUGAAUUAAUAAGAUAAUUCUUAUUAUGAAGGAGGAUUUGAUGGUAUUAUAAAUUUAAUAAGUUUAUAGGAUAAAGGCUCUAAAUCAUGU